Molecule: ribosomal RNA, 435 nt
Filed under: uncultured bacterium
Lineage: Bacteria
Description: bacterial SSU rRNA
Rfam family: Bacterial small subunit ribosomal RNA
Source: RNAcentral
GAUGAACGCUGGCGGUGUGGAUAAGGCAUGCAAGUCAAACGGCUCGCAAGAGCAGUGGCGGACGAGGUAGUAACACGUGGGUACAUCCCUUUUAGUCAGGGAUAACUAGUCGAAAGAUUAGCUAAUACUUGAUAGUCUCUUCGGAGUAAAGAUUUAUCGCUAAAAGAAUGGCCUGCGAAGUAUCAGCUAGUUGGUAGUGUAAUGGACUACCAAGGCUAUGACGCUUAGGGGAGCUGAGAGGCUGACCCCCACCGAUGGUACUGAGACACGGACCAUACACCUACGGGUGGCUGCAGCCGAGAAUAUUCGACAAUGGACGAAAGUCUGAUCGAGCGACACCGCGUGAUGGAUGAAGACCCUCUGGGUCGUAAACAUCUUUUAUGAGGGAGAAGUUUAUUGAUAGUACCUCACGAAUAAGGGGUUGCUAAACUCGUG